This 367-nucleotide long non-coding RNA is filed under the name Homo sapiens (human). RNAcentral's name for it is "HSALNT0405600". Lineage: Eukaryota; Metazoa; Chordata; Mammalia; Primates; Hominidae. The record is from RNAcentral.
CUCACACCUCCCUGCUGCUGCCCACCUUGUGGCCACCCUGUCCCUCUGUGGUGACUGCACUAUUCGUCCUGGGCUGCCUGAGCUUUCCAGUCCUGAGAAAAGUGCAGGGGGGCGGGGGUUGUUAUUGGAAGUCACCCCGGGCAAUGAACUCAAUGGAAAACCCUGGUUACUAAAGUCAGUUCCAUUAGCAUCUCUGUUUUUCUGAGUCUGGCAGCUUUCGUUUGCUCACCAAAUGUAGUUAUACACAAAUUUCGGACUGCUUUAGAGCAGGAUGGAGGACAGGAAGAAGAAGGAAGAUUUUCUGGAAGUUCCACAUAGGACAGUGCUUACAAAUCAUUGGCUUAAAGUUCUCAGGGUUGAAGUUCCC